Molecule: ribosomal RNA, 481 nt
Filed under: Alcanivorax jadensis
Lineage: Bacteria; Pseudomonadati; Pseudomonadota; Gammaproteobacteria; Oceanospirillales; Alcanivoracaceae
Description: bacterial SSU rRNA
Rfam family: Bacterial small subunit ribosomal RNA
Source: RNAcentral
GUCGAGCGGAACGAUGGUAGCUUGCUACCAGGCGUCGAGCGGCGGACGGGUUGAGUAACGCGUGAGAAUCUGCCCAUUUGUGGGGGAUAACUCGGGGAAACUCGAGCUAAUACCGCAUAAUCCCUACGGGGGAAAGCAGGGGACCUUCGGGCCUUGUGCAGAUGGAUGAGCUCGCGUCGGAUUAGCUUGUUGGUGAGGUAAAGGCUCACCAAGGCGACGAUCCGUAGCUGGUCUGAGAGGAUGAUCAGCCACACCGGGACUGAGACACGGCCCGGACUCCUACGGGAGGCAGCAGUGGGGAAUCUUGGACAAUGGGGGCAACCCUGAUCCAGCCAUGCCGCGUGUGUGAAGAAGGCCUUCGGGUUGUAAAGCACUUUCAGUAGGGAGGAAGGCUUUCCGCUAAUAACGGGGAGUACUUGACGUUACCUACAGAAGAAGCACCGGCUAAUUUCGUGCCAUCAGCCGCGGUAAUACGAAAGGU